AAUGCUAUAGCUGAGUCAAAUGGUGGUAAUAUUCCAAGUUUCUGAGGAAUCUCCAUACUGCUUUCCAUAAUGGUUGCACCAAUUUGCAUUCCACCAGCAAU
This 101-nucleotide microRNA precursor is filed under the name Marmota monax (woodchuck). The record is from RNAcentral. Lineage: Eukaryota; Metazoa; Chordata; Mammalia; Rodentia; Sciuridae.